UUACCCUCAUGCACUCGCAGCACCCGUGUCGCAACGGCGAGUUCACCUGCAGCAACGGCCGUUGUAUCAACAUGGCGACUGGUCUGCGAAGCUGGGAUGUACGACAACUGCGGGGACCACUCCGACGUCUGUCACCUCGGCGUCAACAUGAUCAUCAGCAUCGUCGUCGCAGUUGUCCUCGCCAUCCUCGUCAUAUUCCUCGUCGGCUUGUCCCUGUGGUACAGGAUGCACAGCCCCACGCAGCGAGAAGAGAGAAGACAAGAGAUCUUGUUCAUGAGAAUAUUAUGAGAACACCACUCUGUGGGAGGCUACACAUGUUUCCGAAGACUGAUAUUGUUAAAAAAAAAGAACAAAAAGAACAAAAACAGAGUUCCCUCCAUGUACUUCAACUGCGCUUCAAGACAGACAGUGCGUGACGUCAGCAAGUCGUUGUUGCUAAGGCAACAACUUUUUUUAACAAGCAGGCGGCCGGAGGAGGGAGGACUGUCAAGAGAACUUCUUCCGGGCGUAGUGGCCCUGGUGUAACCAAGGGCAACGGAGCGCGCAGACGACAGAAUGUGGCCAGACAGCAGUGAUAAGACUUAUUUUAUUGUCAAUCGUCAUCUGUGAAGGAAACAGACUUUCUGUCGCUGGAACAGACAUUUUCGUUGACAAACUUUAUUUGUAAAGACUUGUUGGGACUUGACUAACUUUUGCUAAGCUGCCAAGAUGAAGUGAGUGUUAAAUGCGAGUGAGUAAGCACGAGAGUGAGUGAGUGAGUGGUGUGCAGGAGUUUGUACGAGCAUGAACUUUUUGCUCAUUUGUACAUAUUUAUAUGUAUAAAAGAAAUUAAAAUAUUUCUUUGUCUAUGUACAUAUCCAAUUUUUGCUAGCAUUUAUUUCAUCCGAUAUGAGAUGAUCUGUCAACGGGAUGUUAUUACAUUCAUACGUACAGUAAGUAUUGUUGCCAAUAUCAUGUAAGUAUUGAUACCAAGAAAUUGUAAGUAUUGAUUACAAAAAAACUAGUCAAAGAUUUCCUCGAAACCUAAACGAAGUUAAACUCACAUCUUCAAACUGUGUGGUGGGUGUUGUCGGUUCAUAUGAUUAGAAAAGAAGACAAUUUUCGUAACAUUUUUCUUUGGGCAGAAAAUAUAUGGCAUCGGCAUUCAUUCUCUUCCUCCUUCUGAAUGAAUCUUCGAAAAUCAAAAAUACUUUUUAAGAGGUGGCUUUUAAUUCAGUUAUCUGUCGUUUGUAAGGUUCUUUACAUACACGACUGGUUAAUUAGAAAAAGGGAUCUGACCCCCCCCUAACAUGCAGCAACCUAUUUAGUCAGAGGACCGAGCGGUCAGUUCCAACUGCCCAAUUGCUUUAAAAAAAUGGCCGACACAUCUUUUGAAGGUUUUUGAUGCUAAAUACUCGCCGCACCCAGCUGUUCGUCAAUUCUCAAAGAAUGUUCUUUAGGCAUGAAAACUCAAAGCAUUUUCCGAUGGGGGUUUUGGGGGAACCACCCAAUUAAUUUUCGUUUUCGUGAAGACACGUGUCCAUAAGUCUUAGUGUCUUCAAAGAAAGUUAGCCUGAUACUUGAACUCUAUCGUUAAGCUCAAUCGGAAUCGGCAAUUCUCCCAGAAGCAGAUGGAUGAUGCCUUUUUAGUUCAGAACCGUUUUUCUGUCUUUGUUGUUAUCCUGUUAUUUGUUGAUCACAAGCGACAGUAGAAAACAAUGUAAUCGGAAAAUAUUCAGGUCAUAGAAGUCUUCCUUAUUUUAUCUACUUUUAAUUAGUUUUAAUAUGCAUAAAGGAGAGUGCGAUUUUGUUGUUCCUGUGAAUAACAGCAACACGGCUGGGAGCUUGUGUGAUGCUAGAACUUGUCUGGCUGUGGGUUUUUCGCUUUUCUUGUCCAUGGCGACAGCCCAUCAUGUGCUGACAGGUGUUGGCCAGUAAACUCAUCCUAACAUUCACACAUUAUUUUACUGAGUGGAAGCGCGUGUGUGUUGAAAAAAAGAUUUAGUCCAAGGAAGUUUCUGAAUAAUUUUCCUUUGGAUAAAGGAGAAAGGAUCAUCCAUCAAGUUCAUUGUAAGCUGUCCUUGGAAAACUUCGUUGCAGAAAUAUAAAUAUCACUCUCCACUCCUCAACCCCUCCUAUCAUUGCCUCUCUGCAGUAAAUAUGUAAUACAUGCUUUUAUCAUGUCAGGUGCUUUUUUCAGACGGUUUCCUAUUUUCUCGUUUUGCUAUUAUUGCUCAGUAUAAUUCCUGUCGUCUGCUAAAGUUAUUUCCGGGGACACAGGAAACGGAAUUGCUGAAAUGAGGUUGAAGUUUUCAGCUUUAUUAACGAUUCGCUCUAUAAAUACAAAGAUAUAUCAACACUGAGUUCUUAUUCUUUCACAUUGAGGUACUUAAUUGUUUAUUAACAACAGCAUAUUAAUCUGUAGUCCUUAGUCCACAAGGUCGACACAUUUCAAUGGAGAGGGAGGGACACAGUUUGUAAACAUUUGUCCAAGUCCAUAGUUUUGCUUUAACUAACGGCAAUAACAUUUUGGUGAAUGUCUGAGGUACACACUUGUGUGUAGGUGGUGCACACA
Long non-coding RNA from Pomacea canaliculata, 2554 nucleotides. RefSeq lists it as uncharacterized. The transcript is spliced from 2 exons. NCBI's taxonomy places the organism in Eukaryota, Metazoa, Mollusca, Gastropoda, Architaenioglossa, Ampullariidae. The record is from RefSeq and is a predicted model, not a curated record.